Dermatophagoides farinae (American house dust mite) is the source of this 916-nucleotide non-coding RNA. The record is from RefSeq and is a predicted model, not a curated record. NCBI's taxonomy places the organism in Eukaryota, Metazoa, Arthropoda, Arachnida, Sarcoptiformes, Pyroglyphidae.
AGAUCAAAAUUGGCCCCUGAAAUCGAUGAAGAUCGUUUGGUUCGGUCAUCAUGUAAUCAUGACUCAAGUUGGCGAACAAAUCCAAUUUUCGGUGACUAUCAAAUUUUUCUUUUUCAGAGUCCAUUAUACUUGAUGUAUGACAAUGUAUGGAAUUCGGAUUAAUAUGUGAAAACAUGGUCAAUGAGCAUAAAAUUUUCAUUGAUGAUCAAUGAUCAUUAGAAUCAUAUAAUUGGUGCCUUCUUUAUAAAAACGAUCAUGGUAAUGAUGCCGAACAGUACAAAUUUGUUGGUGGAUAUCUGGUCGCUAACAUGGUACAAUGUCCAAUGAAAAACAUCAUGUUCAUCAUCAGUCUAUUCAGAACAUGCCUGCUUUUGAUUGAAUUGUCGGAACAACUUAUCCGGUAAGUCGACAUAUUCAUUCUUCAUAUUUAAUAAAGAUUGGUCUAUCUUUUUUUAUUAGGUUCGUUCCUGAAAUUUUACAAUCAUCAAAUUGAAAUUCGAUUGAUGAUUAUGUUCGAGAUCAAUUCGGCGGUUCCAUUGUUCAUCAGCAUCCAAUUCAAGAAUAGUUUGACCAUGUUCAACACAUGAUAUCAGGUUAGGCUAGGGUUAGAUUAGGCUUAGGAACAUGGUCUGAUUAUUUCCUAUUGAAUUUGAUGCUGAUUUAAUCUUUUGAAUCAAUGAAGCGAUCGAAAACAUGAUUAUAAGUCGAAGAUUCAUGGGAUGGAACACAUAUAUGAAAAUGAUCAUGGAUCGCCGGCGAACAAUUGGGAAAUUGAAUCUCGAACCACGGAUAGAAUUUGGACAUUGUCUUGGAACAUGGACCGCGAUUAUGGAUUUAUUUAUGUCAAACGGGACAAUUAACGUUUUAUGGCGCAAUUUGGAUGUGAAAUAUGCAUGUAUUUUAUUAUUUAAAAUUU